RNAcentral lists this ribosomal RNA (253 nucleotides) under uncultured bacterium. RNAcentral describes it as "partial 16S ribosomal RNA". It matches the Rfam family "Bacterial small subunit ribosomal RNA", at positions 524 to 776 of the family's 1533-position model. The record is from RNAcentral.
UACGAAGGGGGCGAGCGUUGUUCGGAAUUACUGGGCGUAAAGGGCGCGUAGGCGGCGACUCAAGUUAGAUGUGAAAGUCCUGGGCUUAACCUGGGGACUGCAUUUGAUACUGGGUUGCCUGAAUUCGGGAGAGGAUAGCGGAAUUCCCAGUGUAGAGGUGAAAUUCGUAGAUAUUGGGAAGAACACCGGUGGCGAAGGCGGCUAUCUGGACCGACAUUGACGCUGAGGCGCGAAAGCGUGGGGAGCAAACAGG